UUUAAGUGUAGUUGUGGGUUUCUGUGCCUAACGUUUGAUCAUUCAUCUAUUUGAAAUUUUUCUAUGAUUAGUGUUUUUAUCAUUAUUAGAUCAUAAAACAUGAAUAGUAUUUUAUGCGUGACUUAUUGUUUUUUAUUUUUUAUAAAUUUUUCAAAUAAGACGAAUAUUCAAAAGUUGGACACGGAAACCCACAACUACACUUAAA
This is a non-coding RNA of Oryza meridionalis, 205 nucleotides long. The record is from Rfam. Lineage: Eukaryota; Viridiplantae; Streptophyta; Magnoliopsida; Poales; Poaceae.